RNA transcript from Carassius auratus (goldfish), 1339 nucleotides. It is a transcript of the gene named cation channel sperm-associated protein 1-like, with no coding region annotated. The transcript has 13 exons. The record is from RefSeq and is a predicted model, not a curated record. NCBI's taxonomy places the organism in Eukaryota, Metazoa, Chordata, Actinopteri, Cypriniformes, Cyprinidae.
CCGUUAACCACCGUUGAAUGAACUCCACCGGAAGACACACCGACGCGAUUGUUUCUCUGAGAUCUGCUAGACAACUAUUUGUUAAGAUGUGGAAAGCGUUGCUGGACAGGGCUGUGUGUCUGCAGCAGGACAUCCAUCACUUCACUAAGCUCUAUGAUCAAAUCAUGCUGUUUGUGCUCCUGAUGAACACCACAACACAAGUGGCAAUGACAUUUCAAGGUCUCGCACCAGCUUGGGUUUAUGAAGCACUGGAGGCAGUCUACUUGGCUUUUUAUACGAUGGAGUGUGUGUUAAAGCUCAUAAGUUUUGGCUUAAAAUACUUCAAAAGCAUGUGGAAUAUUCUGGAUUUCUCGGUCACUUUGGUAGGGUUGGUAGACCUUUUUCUGGACAGCAAACAGUAUGAUAGUGAGCGUUUCACCACUUUUUUCCACCUCCUUAAAAUGUUCAAAGUAUGUCGAGCGUUCAGGAUCUUACGCACACUGCGGUUUUUCAGUGGUCCCAAGGUCGUCAUGAAAGUAAUAGGAAAGUCUUUGAAGAUGAAUGGAAUCAUCUUCGUGCUCAUGUUUUGCAUCUUUGUCAUGUUUUCCAUUCUUUUCCGACAAAACUUAAGCAAGUCCGACCCAAAGCGAUUUGGUUCCAUGCUCAGUACCAUGUCUACACUCCUCCAGCUGUUGACACUUGAUGACUGGAUUAACGUCUAUUACACCAGUCGAGACAAUGGUGCACCUGAUGUUAUCAUCUUCAUCGUCUUGUACAUCUUGACUGAAUACUACAUCCUUUUAAGUCUGAUCUAUGCAGUGACGGUGGACACCAUCCUCAGCAACAGAAAGAACAUGGUUGGGGAACAGCCAUCACCGAUCCAGACGACAGAGCAAAUCAAGAGUGAGCCGACUGACGACCAGACAACCAAGGUUGCUUUCUCAGAAAACUAUUUUAUUGAAGGGAAGAACAUUCGGAUGGAACACUGUUUGAGGAUCCUGGAAGCUCUGGAGAAGAAUCAGCAGUUGUUUCGGAAACAAACCAAUUACCUUUACAGGCUGAUUGACAGCACUGAAAUGGGACCUUCCUUUUACCGUAGAAAGGAAGCAGAUGAGGAUGAACUCGAGGACAGCCAUUGAGAAGAUGGAAAUGCUGUCAAUGGAGAGUGAUGAGCGUGUUUAGCGUGUUUCCUGCUCUACAUCAGUAUGUGGGAAGCAUUGAUUUCAAUUGUUUGCUGUAAACUAACAGGGUGAGUAACAAAGAAGCACUUCCAGGGACAGGACAGGGUACUCUGGUCCCAGGGCAGCUGAUACAGGAGCACUGGAACAACAUCUUAUGUGGUGACCUGCAGGAAGAAAAA